ACAGGAUCUCCUUUUCCUAAUAGAUUUGUGCUCCUCUGAGUCUAUGGUAGACACCUCAUGGUACCACAGAGCGUGUUCAGUGGCUGUAUUUAGAGCUCUGUGUGGUGCUCCAGACAUCACGAUGGCUGUGUAGUCUCAGAGCAUUCAGGCACAUUAAUUAUACACUUUUGGUAAAUGUUUUAUCCUAUUUUUUAGAGAAAGAUAGCUGACGCAGACAUAGAAUUAGUAAAUUGUCCUAAUCGAUACCAGCGCCUACCAUCAGCUUAAAGACUUCUAGGCGUUAAUUAUGAGGCACCGCAAACACAUCACUCAGGCGGAUCGGCGGCAGGAGCUCCCGUGUGCUGCUCAGCGCUCAGCCCACACACCCUCCCUCCCUCCACCUCACCUCUCAGUCAGCAGCAAUUGUUUUUGUGAGACGCUCAUCGUUUUAUACCUUCAACUUUCCAACUUUAAAUUCUGCUCUUCAAACUCUGAAAUGGAGUCAGGGCAAAUUUCUGCUCUAGACCACCUGCGGUACACUACAGACACAAAGAACAGGAGAGACAAUAGAAAAAUUGGCGUGUUAGCAGAGUCGUGUAAUGUAAAUGCUCCAGCUGUCAGUCAAACAUCUCAUCUUCACCCAGAAUCUCACCGGUGACGAAUGGCAGCUGCACGGAGCAUGUGCCAAGGAGUUGCAACCAACAUUCAGUAUCAGAAGAUUGGCCAAAGCCAAGGGAGAAACUCCACUUGGAAGAUCAUGAGGAGAACAGUAUCUGAAAAGGAGAUCUGAAUGGAGCAAGAAAGAACUAGGAAAAUCCAGAGCCCUGGAAAUGGAGGCAGAGGCCAAACCUAAUGUUUUAUAUAAAAACUUAAUACAUUAUGAUCUGGGAAAGGGAUGAGACCUAAUCUGAGUCACAGCUUUCUGGAACAGCAUUGGAUUACAUUUAUGCCCCAUUAUAAUUCUGGUUUGCCUUAUUCACUUUAUUUGGGCAACAAAAAGACAACAGAACUACAAUGUUUGGAAAAAAUAUAUAUAUCUCUAAUUCAGGUCUAGCACCCUGCUUUUAGAAGAUGAUAUUGCAUUACUAUGUUUCCAGCUCUGCCUAAAGGCAAUAAGCAGGGAGCUUGGUGGUGGAGCAGCUCCUGUAUUCUGCAGGUCGGUAGGAAUGAUGUGUCUCACCCUACUCCAUUAGUGUCAGUGGGGUUGGGGAUUUCAUUUUCUCUUUUUGUUCAAAGAAAAACUGAAUGCUUUGGGAAUUAUCAUAAUAAGAACAUUAGAUACUCAUACUCACAUCACUUAUUCAGUGCUUUAAUACUUAGCAGCUGUGCUAGAUUCAUAUUAGUACUGGGUAUCUCAUAUAAAGUGUACAAUGGAUGUGAAAGAAGAAAUGCAGGUGUCUUUAACAAUGUUUAUUGGAACAAAUUUGAGUAGCUCAGAUCUUACUAUGCCUCAUUUGAUCUUUUUCACAGCUUUUUUUUUUUUUUUGGUGGAGAAAUGAGGCUUAGUUGUUUCUAAGACCCGGAACCCUUAAUAUAUUUGCUGCUUUUUCUUUCCCUGGUACAAUGGACAAUUUGUUACAGUUACUGCACAGCUCUUGGACAAGCACUUUGUGAUCCUGGUGAUUUGCUACCACUAAUUCUGCCAGCUUAGUUUAAAAUCACCUCGAUUAGCAUUUCUAUGGGAGAAAAUUAUCCAGUUAGAAAAGUUUUUAUAUGGGAACCUCGCCAUUCCCUUCCAUAGUAAACUCUGAGGCAAAUAAUCCAUUUUGCUCUUCUGGGUCUUCAGGGUCAUCACUUACCCUGAAAGAAAGUCCUUUUGCACUUUGAUUAUCCAUAUAGCCCUCUAAUUCUUUGGCUGGUCAAAGGCAAAUGGUAAAAGCAAGUUAUGAUGGAUAGUCCCAAAAAUGCAUAAGAAGUGUUGCUCAGAUUAUUUGCUUUCCAGCUUCAUGAAGUAAUGUGUUUCUGUGGAACAAUUUGCACAUAAUUUAAAUGUAUUUUCAACCUAGAAAAGCCUGUUAACUCAAAACUAUACUAUCUCUUUGUGAAAAAUUAAACUCACCUAACAUUCCUUCAUAAUAAACACAAAUAAGGAGAAACUUACAGUGAAGAAAUUACAGCAGAGCCCAAACAGGGGAGAAUAUUGGACAUUAAAGUAAGGAAAAUUCCACGCCUUUCUUUUCCAAGGACCUGAAAGAAAUACAGUGUUCCUUUUUCUGAGGCUCUCCUCAAGAGAUGAGCGUUUUGUAAAUCACACUCCUCUGAUGAUACAGCAGCAUUUCACGUUGCCAGCGGCCGGGCUGGAACUGGCUUAUUAAUAUUGCAUGAUAAUAGAUAAAUUUGAGUCGAGUGCAUCGUUGUGCAGGUUUAACUCCGUGUAAUUUACCAGCACCUAUGCUAUUUAUAAGACAGCACGGACCUCAGCAUGACACGCUGCUCCUUGCCAAGUAACGAGUACCAAAGUAUAGAUAUAGGAGGAACAGCUAUAGGACAAAGCAGGUGACAUACCUACCAAAACCGAGGUGUCAGCCAAGUGCUGCUUUGCUUCCCCCAUGAUCAUUUUGGUGCUGACUGUGGAUCUAUGGGCACUAGUGGUGGCAGAGUGCUGGCAUUUAAGCUUCUGCUUAAGACUACAGCUACACCGGGGCAUGGCAGGCUGGGGAGAGACAGGCAUAUUAAUGCUGUCAGAAAUACAGACCCCUUAUGCCAGGCUCUGUUGACCCUCCAGGCAUUUAUUUCUCUUUAACGGUCCUCUAUUA
This 2735-nucleotide long non-coding RNA is filed under the name Anas zonorhyncha (Eastern spot-billed duck). RNAcentral's name for it is "lncRNA (ENSAZOG00000018290.1)". The record is from RNAcentral. Lineage: Eukaryota; Metazoa; Chordata; Aves; Anseriformes; Anatidae.